RNAcentral lists this ribosomal RNA (253 nucleotides) under uncultured bacterium. Its description in RNAcentral is "partial 16S ribosomal RNA". It matches the Rfam family "Bacterial small subunit ribosomal RNA", at positions 524 to 776 of the family's 1533-position model. The record is from RNAcentral.
UACGGAGGGUGCAAGCGUUGUCCGGAUUUAUUGGGUUUAAAGGGUGCGUAGGCGGCCCGGUAAGUCAGUGGUGAAAGCCUCCAGCUCAACUGGAGAACUGCCAUUGAUACUGCCGGGCUUGAGUACAGACGAGGUUGGCGGAAUUGAUUGUGUAGCGGUGAAAUGCAUAGAUACAAUCAAGAACUCCGAUUGCGUAGGCAGCUAACUAGGCUGUAACUGACGCUGAGACGCGAAAGCGUGGGGAGCAAACAGG